GGGGAAUUUUGGACAAUGGGUGCAAGCCUGAUCCAGCCAUGCCGCGUGAGUGAAGAAGGCCUUCGGGUUGUAAAGCUCUUUCGCAAGGGAAGAAAACGUGUGGGCUAAUAUCCUGCGCGGAUGACGGUACCUUGACAAGAAGCACCGGCUAACUACGUGCCAGCAGCCGCGGUAAUACGUAGGGUGCGAGCGUUAAUCGGAAUUACUGGGCGUAAAGCGUGCGCAGGCGGUUGUGUAAGACAGGUGUGAAAUCCCCGGGCUUAACCUGGGAACUGCGCUUGUGACUGCACGGCUAGAGUACGGCAGAGGGGGGUGGAAUUCCUGGUGUAGCAGUGAAAUGCGUAGAUAUCAGGAGGAACUCCGAUUGCGCAGGCAGCUUACUAAACCAUAACUGACGCUCAAGCACGAAGGCGUGGGGAUCAAACA
Molecule: ribosomal RNA, 426 nt
Filed under: uncultured Azoarcus sp.
Lineage: Bacteria; Pseudomonadati; Pseudomonadota; Betaproteobacteria; Rhodocyclales; Zoogloeaceae
Description: bacterial SSU rRNA
Rfam family: Bacterial small subunit ribosomal RNA
Source: RNAcentral